GAGAGAUUUGUAAACGAGAGUUGGUGAGAGAUCUCCAUUGAAGAGCACCAUUGUAACCUCUUAAAACAUUAGAUAGUGGAUUUGGCUUGUGAGGAGCAAAUCCUCACCGAGACGUACCUCAACGUUGCGAAUUGCAACAGAGGGAACUCGUAAAUCUCGUGUUCUUAGUUUCUUCUUUAUCUCGUAAU
This 188-nucleotide small RNA is filed under the name Arabidopsis thaliana (thale cress). Its description in RNAcentral is "ATSL027620". Lineage: Eukaryota; Viridiplantae; Streptophyta; Magnoliopsida; Brassicales; Brassicaceae. The record is from RNAcentral.